GCGCAAGCCUGUCAAUGUGUGUGUGUGCAUUUCGGUACCUUCCCCCUCCGAUCGCACGUGGCAUGUCCAACCACAAUGGCUGAGAUUAUCAAUCUUUAUGAUUUCAGCUAAGUCCAUCCUUUCCCUUAGGAAAGCAUUGGGUGGAUUUUGUGCAUGCACAGCAAAUGUGCCAAUCCGCAUCUCCUCAUAGAGUUGCAUUACAUUAAUCAGCCUCUAUGAGGAGCAUUCAGCGCCUUCAUGCAGAGCGUGGAGACACUGAACGUCUGUGCUGCACGUCUCGCUAGUGGCCGUCUGACCAUCACUAGAGGUGUUACUAAGCAG
This is a non-coding RNA of Pelobates cultripes (western spadefoot toad), 321 nucleotides long. NCBI's taxonomy places the organism in Eukaryota, Metazoa, Chordata, Amphibia, Anura, Pelobatidae. The record is from the annotation of a GenBank genome assembly.